Molecule: ribosomal RNA, 253 nt
Filed under: uncultured bacterium
Lineage: Bacteria
Description: partial 16S ribosomal RNA
Rfam family: Bacterial small subunit ribosomal RNA
Source: RNAcentral
UACGUGGGGGGCAAGCGUUGUUCGGAAUUACUGGGCGUAAAGGGCUCGUAGGUGGCCAACUAAGUCAGACGUGAAAUCCCCAGGCUUAACCUGGGAACUGCGUCUGAUACUGGAUGGCUUGAAUUCGGGAGAGGGAUGCAGAAUUCCAGGUGUAGCGGUGAAAUGCGUAGAUAUCUGGAGGAAUACCGGUGGCGAAGGCGGCAUCCUGGACCGAGAUUGACACUGAUGAGCGAAAGCCAGGGGAGCAAACGGG